This is a long non-coding RNA of Vespula vulgaris, 292 nucleotides long. RefSeq lists it as uncharacterized. The transcript has 2 exons. Lineage: Eukaryota; Metazoa; Arthropoda; Insecta; Hymenoptera; Vespidae. The record is from RefSeq and is a predicted model, not a curated record.
AGAAAAUUGAAAAAUAAGUCAAAAUAAAAAAUCAAGUUAAUAUUAAAGAAGAAAAGAGACAUCGAGAAAAGAAGCAAGCUUAUAUGUACUAGAAAACUCUGAAGUGUGUUUAACAGAAUAAAAUAUCAAGAGGAUAGAAAUAUACACGUCCAGGAGAGUCGAGCACAUAAUUCAAGGAACCAUUUAAGGGGAAUAUUAAUGACUACGACGAGUAUAUUCUAUUCCUGGCAAUCUGCUGUAAGUAAUUUUUCAUUUUCUUGAUUAGCGGCGAGUAAUAAUUAUAAUAGAAAAA